This 495-nucleotide long non-coding RNA is filed under the name Homo sapiens (human). RNAcentral's name for it is "non-protein coding lnc-TMPRSS2-83:5". The record is from RNAcentral. Lineage: Eukaryota; Metazoa; Chordata; Mammalia; Primates; Hominidae.
GUGGUGAAACUGAGUGGACAGCCAAGUGUCCAUAGUACAGCUGCCUCGUGUGGGACCCACUGCUCUAACGAGCCAGCCCCCGACACAGAAGCUGAGCACCCCCAAGCUGGGGAACCUAGAGAGACCUGCACCCGGGUCCCACGUGGAAGACUGGCUGGUGCCAUUUUGUCUUCUGUGGAUGGAUCCAGGACUAAACCUGUUUCUUAUGAGUCACAGGCACAAAGGAAGGGCACUACAACCACAACCAAUAUCAGUAAAGCUUUGGAAGACCUCUGCUACCUAUUUAAAAUAAUCAACACUCAGCCAGAAGAGAUUACCACAGUUCCAGAGACAAUGCUGGCACAAGGCUUCCAGCCCAUCCUGUCCACUGACACGGAGAAUGAAAUCGUCCUGCCUCUGGGCUCCUUAGAUCAGACACCGUCACUCCUCACCCUGGACACCUCACUCUGCACCCUGGACACCCUCACUCACCCUGGACACGUUCACUCACCCUGA